RNAcentral lists this ribosomal RNA (349 nucleotides) under Trissonchulus sp. JAL-2013. Its description in RNAcentral is "bacterial SSU rRNA". It matches the Rfam family "Eukaryotic small subunit ribosomal RNA", at positions 87 to 433 of the family's 1831-position model. Lineage: Eukaryota; Metazoa; Nematoda; Enoplea; Enoplida; Ironidae. The record is from RNAcentral.
UCGCGAAUAGCUCAUUACAACAGCCAUCAUUUACAAGAUCUUACCUUCUUACUUGGAUAACUGUGGCAAUUCUAGAGCUAAUACAUGCAACAAAAGUCCGACUUUACAGAAGGACUGCAUUUAUUAGGCCAAAACCAAUCGAACUUCGGUUCGUAUCUUGGUGAAUCUGAAUAACUUUGCCGAUCGAACGGUCUUAGUACCGGCGACUUAUCUCUCAAGUGUCUGACUUAUCAACUUUCGAUGGUAGUUUAUUGGACUACCAUGGUGAUUACGGGUGACGGAGAAUUAGGGUUCGACUCCGGAGAGGGAGCCUGAGAAACGGCUACCACAUCCAAGGAAGGCAGCAGGC